Molecule: ribosomal RNA, 292 nt
Filed under: uncultured bacterium
Lineage: Bacteria
Description: partial 16S ribosomal RNA
Rfam family: Bacterial small subunit ribosomal RNA
Source: RNAcentral
GUGUCAGCAGCCGCGGUAAUACGUAGGGUGCGAGCGUUAAUCGGAAUUACUGGGCGUAAAGCGUGCGCAGGCGGUGAGCUGUGUCCGAUGUGAAAGCCCCGGGCUUAACCUGGGAAUGGCAUUGGAAACUGGCUCGCUGGAGUGUGGCAGAGGGGGGUGGAAUUCCGCGUGUAGCAGUGAAAUGCGUAGAGAUGCGGAGGAACACCGAUGGCGAAGGCAGCCCCCUGGGCUAACACUGACGCUCAGGCACGAAAGCGUGGGGAGCAAACAGGAUUAGAUACCCCCGUAGUCC